Molecule: ribosomal RNA, 253 nt
Filed under: uncultured bacterium
Lineage: Bacteria
Description: partial 16S ribosomal RNA
Rfam family: Bacterial small subunit ribosomal RNA
Source: RNAcentral
UACGUAGGGGGCAAGCGUUGUCCGGAUUCAUUGGGCGUAAAGAGCGUGUAGGCGGCCAGGUAGGUCGGUUGUGAAAACUGGAGGCUCAACCUUCAGAGGUCGACCGAAACCAUCUGGCUAGAGUCCGGGAGAGGAGAGUGGAAUUCCUGGUGUAGCGGUGAAAUGCGCAGAUAUCAGGAAGAACACCCGUCGCCAAAGCGGCUCUCUGGAACGGUACUGACGCUGCGACGCGAAAGCGUGGGGAGCGAACAGG